GUGGAAUAAUCACAGCCUUUGCUUGAAGAAUUCCCUGCCUGUCAGACCCUGAAGGCUCAAGUCUGUGGACAGAAGAUGUAUUCAUGUCCCUUGCUGGGGAACUCUACUGCCAGCAGAUCUUGGCCUACAACCCUUUCUCUCCAAGAGGCACAUUCCCCAGGGCAGGUCUGAAACCAGAGAGAGUUUUGAAGACCAGGGAGAAGGAGAAAGCAUCACCAGAAAUAGCAGUUUCCCAAUGAAACUUUAUCUGAACUUUUUGAAAGGGAGAGCGCUCCCCUAAUGAACAUAGAUCAGCAAAGGUAGGAGGACUUUGGAGGCACAAAGACCUGGUUCAAAUCCCAAGUGUCAGUUGAAGCUGUCCCUUCUCUGAGAUCCUUCUUUCCUCAUCUUGGAAAUG
RNAcentral lists this long non-coding RNA (397 nucleotides) under Bos grunniens (domestic yak). RNAcentral describes it as "lncRNA (ENSBGRG00000006449.1)". The record is from RNAcentral. Lineage: Eukaryota; Metazoa; Chordata; Mammalia; Artiodactyla; Bovidae.